RNAcentral lists this ribosomal RNA (474 nucleotides) under uncultured bacterium. RNAcentral describes it as "bacterial SSU rRNA". It matches the Rfam family "Bacterial small subunit ribosomal RNA", at positions 262 to 723 of the family's 1533-position model. The record is from RNAcentral.
GGCUCACCAAGGCGACGAUCUUGUAGCUGGUCUGAGAGGACGAUCAGCCACACUGGGACUGAGACACGGCCCAGACUCCUACGGGAGGCAGCAGUGGGGAAUAUUGGACAAUGGGCGAAAGCCUGCAUCCAGCAAUGCCGCGUGUGUGAAGAAGGCCUGCGGGUUGUAAAGCACUUUCAGUGGGGAAGAAAAGCUCGGGGCUAAUACCUCCGGGCCUUGACGUUACCCACUAGAAGAAGCACCGGCCAACUCCGUGCCAGCAGCCGCGGUAAUACGGAGGGAGCAAGCGUUAAUCGGAAUUACUGGGCGUAAAGCGCACGCAGGUGGCUAUGUAAGUCGGAUGUGAAAGCCCUGGGCUUAACCUGGGAACUGCAUUCGAAACUGCCCUGGCUAGAGUAUGGGAGAGGGAAGUGGAAUUCCCGGUGUAGCGGUGAAAUGGCGUAGAUAUCGGGAGGAACACCAGUGGCGAAGGCG